GCCCGGGUGGCGGAAUUGGUAGACGCGCCAGGUUCAGGACCUGGUUCUCGCAAGGGAGUGCUGGUUCGACUCCAGUCCCGGGCACCA
This 87-nucleotide transfer RNA is filed under the name bacterium. RNAcentral describes it as "tRNA-Leu". It matches the Rfam family "tRNA". From Rfam's summary of the family: Transfer RNA (tRNA) molecules are approximately 80 nucleotides in length. The record is from RNAcentral. RNAcentral also lists the same sequence under 3 other names.